Molecule: ribosomal RNA, 424 nt
Filed under: uncultured bacterium
Lineage: Bacteria
Description: partial 16S ribosomal RNA
Rfam family: Bacterial small subunit ribosomal RNA
Source: RNAcentral
AAUAUUGGACAAUGGGCGAAAGCCUGAUCCAGCCAUGCCGCGUGUGUGAAGAAGGUCUUCGGAUUGUAAAGCACUUUAAGUUGGGAGGAAGGGUUGUAGAUUAAUACUCUGCAAUUUUGACGUUACCAACAGAAUAAGCACCGGCUAACUUCGUUCCAGCAGCCGCGGUAAUACGAAGGGUGCAAGCGUUAAUCGGAAUUACUGGGCGUAAAGCGCGCGUAGGUGGUUUGUCAAGUUGGAAGUGAAAGCCCCGGGCUCAACCUGGGAACUGCUUUCAAAACUGGCAAGCUAGAGUAUGGCAGAGGGUGGUGGAAUUUCCUGUGUAGCGGUGAAAUGCGUAGAUAUAGGAAGGAACAUCAGUGGCGAAGGCAGCCCCCUGGGCCGAUACUGACGCUCAUGCACGAAAGCGUGGGUAGCAAACAGG